Molecule: unclassified non-coding RNA, 497 nt
Filed under: Hevea brasiliensis (rubber tree)
Lineage: Eukaryota; Viridiplantae; Streptophyta; Magnoliopsida; Malpighiales; Euphorbiaceae
Source: RNAcentral
UGCUAGUUGUGGAUGUGGAGAAAUUUGCUCAAAAGCAACUGACAGAAGCUUGUCUAGCCAUCCAGCAAUUCCUGGAAGUUCAGUAACAUCAAGCCCAUGAGUGAAGAUGGGUUUGACAGUCAUUUGGAAAUAAGGUGGCUCAGCAAAGCAUACCCUCAAACGGCCAAGGAAAGGCCAGUGGCGAAGGAACUUCACUCCAAUCAAGACCUUCCCUUCAACAUGCAUGGCUGUCAUAUGCAACUUUGCCCACAUUCCAAAUCCCAGCCUUUUCCUUAACUUGACAGCAAGUACUGCACUCAUAUCAUCUGCCGUGCAAAAGUUCAUUCCCAAUUCCAAUGCCAAGUGGUCAUCACUGGAACAUUGGCGAAGAACCCUCAUUUCUGUGAACAUUGGCGGGUUUCUUCCCAAAUACAUGUGUUGAACCACAGCCUUUUUAGCGGUCCAUGGCUUAUACUUGUCCAAGAACCAAGGUAUAAUUGGGAGUAGAAUCUUCUGCG